UGUUUUUGGGCCUUUUUGCCCUACGCCUGGGGGGCCAGCACGGUGUCCCUCAGCGCCUUGCCUUCACCUCAGCUGUCUUCUUUUCGAGCGGCUCGAAGAGCAGGCUAAACCUCACAUCAAGCUGAAUUCUGAAGAUAAGUUGUCACCUGUGCACAAGCUCCCUAUACUGGACUCAUGAAACAAACCAGAACUAUCUAAGUCAAGGGAUUCCAAUCAACUGGUCAAGUUUAAGAGAUGGACCUGACAGGGUACUAGAUAUAUGAGUAGCUCCAUGAACACUUGCUGAGAAAAUAAGUGAACGGCUAGACAAGUGAGGUCGUUACCUAACCCGUCAUAAAUUAUACUGGAAUCCCCAUUUUCCAGGAGAAGAAAAAAUGCCCAAGACUGAUGUUUCUGAGGAUUAAACACCUAGAUAGGGUGACAGUACCCUGACAUACUCAAAUUCUAGAAGCAAGCUGCUCCCUAUUACCCUCGCCCUCCUCAAGAAGCUGAUCCAUCUGUACUUCAAAUGAAGAAGUAAUUACCAAGUAACUGUCAGGGGCCGUGGAGGAUGCUAGGAAUACAGACAUCUACUAUCUUCAGGGAUUGGAAUUCACAGUCUACAGGAGCAUAAACAUACAAGUCCCAAACUCUGACUUUGCUCCCCAAAUCUGCUUCAGCCUCAGUCUUCCUCACCUCAACGGAGAUACCCCAUCCUCCUCCCAGCUGCUCAAGGCUGAAAUAGGAAAAUCAUCCUUAUUCCUCUCCUGCCCUGUUCCGUGGUUCCUGUUCAUUCUGCCUCUGAAAAGUAUCUGAAAUCAUCUCGCUUCUGUUACCACUGCCACCCUCCUCGCCAAACUGGGACCACUGCAACAGCCUCCAACUGGCCCCGUCUUCUGCUUUUCAUCCCCUGCAAUCCACACAGCAGGUAGGGUGACUUGUGAAAAUAUAAACAGAAUGCCUCUGCUGCUUAAAACUCUCCAGUGACUUCCCAUUUCCCAUAGAAUAAAAUAUAAACUCCUUGCUCUCACCCCAGUAGAUCAGCAGGACUUGGCCCCUGCCUCACUCUCCCAGCUAUCUAAUACCACGCUUCUUCUGGCUGGUCAUGUUUCCCUCACACUGGCUUCUCUCCCCUCCUCUCCCACCAAAGCCACCACCGCACAAGCACAGACUGUGGCAUUGCUCUCCCUCCAUCCGCCAGCCCCCCAAUCCCAACCUAACUAUGGCUGAUGCUCGGGUCUCAGAUGUCACUUCCUCAUCCAGGCACUCCCCCAACCCACACUGUCUGAGGACCCUGUUCUUUACCCCUGGCUCUUAUUUCAUUUAUAAAUUGUCACUUCCUUG
Molecule: long non-coding RNA, 1323 nt
Organism: Leopardus geoffroyi (Geoffroy's cat)
Lineage: Eukaryota; Metazoa; Chordata; Mammalia; Carnivora; Felidae
Exons: 3
Source: RefSeq, a predicted model, not a curated record